AGUAAGCGCGUUAAGGAUUGAAACGACAUCCUUUUAAUUUUGUCAGUUCGAGUAAAUUUGAGAAGAAUGAGCAAAUUUGUAUCGAGAACAAAAAAUUAAAAGAUAUAGUGUAAAGCCUGUUAAAAC
RNAcentral lists this small RNA (126 nucleotides) under Polaribacter sp. KT 15. Its description in RNAcentral is "Flavo-1 RNA". It matches the Rfam family "Flavo-1 RNA". The record is from RNAcentral. Lineage: Bacteria; Pseudomonadati; Bacteroidota; Flavobacteriia; Flavobacteriales; Flavobacteriaceae.